UCCGGUUUGUCACCGGCAGUCUCCUUAGAGUUCCCGGCAUUACCCGCUGGCAAUUAAGGACAAGGGUUUCGCUCGUUAAGGGACUUAACCCAACAUCUCACGACACGAGCUGACGACAGCCAUGCAACACCUUCGCACAUUCCACCGGUUAAGGAGUUACUCUACUUUCAUAGAGCUAAUCCGUGCGCUUCGAGCCCGGGUAAGGUUCUUCGCGUUGCAUCGAAUUAAGUAACAUGCUCCACCGCUUGUGUGAGCCCCCGUCAAUUCCUUUGAGUUUCAGCCUUGCGGCCGUACUCCCCAGGCGGGGCACUUAAUGCGUUAGCUACGGCACGGAACCCGUCGAUAGAGUCCCACACCUAGUGCCCAACGUUUACGGCGUGGACUAC
RNAcentral lists this unclassified non-coding RNA (386 nucleotides) under uncultured bacterium. RNAcentral describes it as "contains 16S-23S intergenic spacer region". The record is from RNAcentral.